UUUUUAAUGAGAGUUUGAUCCUGGCUCAGGAUGAACGCUGGCGGCAUGCCUAAGACAUGCAAGUCGUACGAAGCGGCCCACUGAAGUCUGAGUGCUUGCACAAAGAUGGACGUGGAUCACCGCUUA
This 126-nucleotide ribosomal RNA is filed under the name Bacillota bacterium. RNAcentral's name for it is "partial 16S ribosomal RNA". The record is from RNAcentral. Lineage: Bacteria; Bacillati; Bacillota.